GUCCCAAUAGCCCAGUGGGUAGUGCUUUAGACUUGUAUUCCAAAGGUCGUGGGUUCGAAUCCCACCUGGGAUG
This is a non-coding RNA of Trichonephila clavipes, 73 nucleotides long. NCBI's taxonomy places the organism in Eukaryota, Metazoa, Arthropoda, Arachnida, Araneae, Nephilidae. The record is from the annotation of a GenBank genome assembly.